AACCUUUACACUGCACGACAGUGCGAUAAGGGAAUCCCAAGUGCGUAGGCAUAGAGCCUACGCUUUUGUCCACCGUAGGGAGGUGGACGAAUAAGGGCUGGGCAAGACCGGUGCCAGCCGCCGCGGUAAUACCGGCAGCCCGAGUGAUGGCCGAUCUUAUUGGGCCUAAAGCGUCCGUAGCUGGCCGCGCAAGUCCAUCGGAAAAUCCACCCGCUCAACGGGUGGGCGUCCGGUAGAAACUGCGUGGCUUGGGACCGGAAGGCGCGACGGGUACGUCCGGGGUAGGAGUGAAAUCCCGUAAUCCUGGACGGACCGCCGAUGGCGAAAGCACGUCGCGAAGACGGAUCCGACAGUGAGGGACGAAAGCUAGGGUCUCGAACCGGAUUAGAUACCCGGGUAGUCCUAGCCGUAAACAAUGCCUGCUAGGUGUGGCUCCCACUACGAGUGGGUGCUGUGCCGUAGGGAAGCCGCUAAGCAGGCCGCCUGGGAAGUACGUCCGCAAGGAUGAAACUUAA
This 515-nucleotide ribosomal RNA is filed under the name uncultured archaeon. RNAcentral describes it as "bacterial SSU rRNA". It matches the Rfam family "Archaeal small subunit ribosomal RNA", at positions 345 to 859 of the family's 1478-position model. The record is from RNAcentral.